GGGGAUGAGCCACAGCCUGGAGGAGCUGAGGAGGCCACAUCACAUGAGGAAGCUUUACUGUUUCCCCUUCUCCUGAAAUGUGUCUGGGAUGGAGAGUGUGGAGAGUGGGCCCACCUUUAUCUGGGUCCACUCAGGCUGCUGCAGAGACUACCCCAGACUGGGUGGCUGAUAGACAAGACAUUCAUUUUCCACACUUCCUGAGACUGGGAAGUCUGAGAUGAAGAAACCUGGAAGCAAGGAAGCCGCCACCAUGAUGCAGCGGGGAGUCCAAGGCCCUGGGAGGUCAUAUGACUCAUUCACGGUCAUCCUGCUGUGGCAGAGAUGCGAUGAAGCCCUGGCUUUGACCCCAACCCCAGGUGCCAGAGUCUUCCCUGCCCUGUACAGCCCUGCUCAUGCCAUGGUCUCCUGUGGACGUUCCCUCCUUCCCACGUUGGCGGUAUUGCUGUCCAAGCUUUGCAGGGGAGGAAUCUGAGGAAUUGAGAAGUCAAGUAACACACCCAAUAGGAUAACUAGGCCUUCUUGGCAGCCAACCUCGAAGCACCACAUCGGGCUUUGAAAUGUGCGGGGCCUUUGAGAUUCAGCGCAUCUGAAUCUGAAUUUAUGCCCUCUCACUUGCUGGAAUCUACUGAUCUGUCCACUGUUCCUGGAAGAAAUACUUUGUUUUCAUGUGCCAGUUGCCUUUCCAGCCUGACUGUCAGCCCAAGGUCGCAGGAGAAGAUCUGAUUGCAUGUCCUUGCUUUUGCUGCUCCCAUUCCAAGAACCAGCUUCCUCCUCUGGAAGGUCGACUGAGGGGUGCUUGACUGGACUUGGCUCAAGGCUGCAAGUGGUCCAGGUCUGCUCUGUGUGUCUUUCAUCCUCCCCAACCAGUUAGAAAACGUGAUAUCCUCUUCUACGAUGAUGAUGGAAAUACAAAAUUGGUGUUCAGGCACUUCAGGACCUCUCACCUCUGUGAAGGGACUUGGGAGACACCCAGAAAAUGAUGAAAAAUGGAGUGAAUGAGACAUUAAGCCAGUUGUGCACCAUUACCCAGCUCGCAGCCCCAUCUCCUGAGGCCAGUUGCCUAGUGGAUGCUGGAGGCAGCAUUUGGACUCAGGCAGUCGAAUCCCAGAGCCCGAAUCCUGCCGUUCUCACUGUCAUCCUGGAGCUCCAGAGCCUGUGGUCACUCAGCUGGCAACCUCACAGGCAGGCCAGCCCCUCCCCAAGCUCAUUUUCCUUAUGGCCUUGCACUGACCUCAACUUUCUUGGACAUCAAAUGGACCCACUGGGCCGCUCCAGGUGUUUCCUUGCCUCCUCUUCUGAAAAUUCGGGACCGCCAUACAGACACCUCCCGGCUCUUCUGUGUGGUCAGGCGCCCUGUCCAUCUUCCUCGCGCUGACUCUCCAGACUCUUUGGAAAGAGUAAAUCCGUGUGCAGAGCACCUGGCUCCAGAGCUUUGGGGCCUCAGGUACGGCCACAUCCCCAUCCUAGCAGCUCUGGCUCAGAGGCCUUCCGCGGGGUCUCAGGGCCAAGGCUGGCCGAGUGUUCCCUGCCCCACAGGCCCAGCGUGGAAUCUCGUUUCUGCCUUCUGCAGAGGGCAGCCUGGAGAGCGCCUCCCGCCACCUGAGAACCAGAGAGGAUGCGAGGAGCCACCGAGAGAGGUCCAGGGCCCAAGUUAG
RNAcentral lists this long non-coding RNA (1655 nucleotides) under Sus scrofa (pig). RNAcentral describes it as "lncRNA (ENSSSCG00040032295.1)". Lineage: Eukaryota; Metazoa; Chordata; Mammalia; Artiodactyla; Suidae. The record is from RNAcentral.